UUCUCUUCUCAUCCUGUUCUGUCCUCUUCAGUGUCGAAGUUGUUCCUCACUGUUGAGAGAUUAUUGCUCAUUGAUAGAAGUCGUUGCCCCACCGUUGUUGCUCGUUAAGAUGGCGUUACUGGUUUGAAGUAAGGAGUGUUGAAAUGGCAGAUCAUUCUAACAUUUCCUUUCUUUUUCCGAUUUCAAUUCUAAUCUUCAUUGCUGAAUUUUCACCCAAGGCAAGGAUCUACCUAUCCUCCUUCUCCUCCGCCGCCAGACACCUGCGCAAUGGUGCUUUCUUAUGAAGGUUAUCUAACGCCUGUGUAUUCCGAAUACCCUCUGUCGCUACCUCCUUUGCGUCCCCAGUAUCAAGGGUACCAAGGUUAUUUCAAUGACCAAUAUCAACAACCGCCUCCUCCACCUUAAUCAUACCCCAAUCACUAUCAUCAACACCAUGAGACCAACUGUCUUUCCAUCUUGCGAGGACUUAUGCAGCUGUUAGGCCCAGCAGAAAAUGGGGCUAGAUAUAUGCAGGAAAGAAGAAAGGAAGCCCAACCAAUUGAAGCAACCGUGACAAGGCUAGAAAGGGCAUAAUGGGAAAUAGAGCUGAGUAACGGAUAUUUUGAUUAUGUCAGAUAGUGGGAGUGCGUUAAAAAGAGGGAGAGGAGGCCAUAUUGGGCAAGAAGUGUGUCAUUAGUAGGAGAGGGUUAUGGUCUCUCAAAUACUAGGAGGGGAGGGAGCUGUUCUGUUUGAGCAUUCUCUAAGUUUGUGAGUUUAUGCUUUGGGUGAUUAAGGAUUGUAUUCCUCUACAUUUUCCAUUGGUAAUAGAAGUCUACUAGAAUAUAUUUCAUAUUUGGCAUUGAGUUAUUUUUCAAGACCUAACAUUUUGGUAUCAGAGCAGUUGAUUCUGGGCAUGGUCAAUACGGGGAUGGAAAAUAGAGUCGACCAACUUGAAGAAGUGGUGAUAGAGUUACAGAGGAAACAAGGAGAGACAACGGAGAAACUUACAGGAGUGGAGGGAACAGUGAGACUAAUUUCGGACCAGCUCACUGAACUUCGAAAUCUGAUUACAGUAGCCAACAGAGACAUAGGAAGAAUUAAGGAUGGGCAUAUUGAAGGAGAGAAAGUGGAGGAGCCUAGAAAUAUUUCAACGAGUCAUGGUGAACGGAACGAACGAGGAGAGGAGGAAACGAGACAAAAUGAUAACAAACACUUCAGACGUCUGGAGCUCCCUAUAUUCAAUGGAGAUGACCCUUUAGGGUGGAUGUUCCGUGUAGAAUGUUAUUUGACUAUCAACAAGAUUAGCGAACAAGACAAGCUUGAUGCUGCUAUCGUAAGUCUAAAAGGUAAAGCCUUAACCUGGUUUUAGUGGCUCGACACUCGAGCUGUAGUGAGAUCUUGGCAAGAGUUUAAGAAGGAAGCAAUAGAGUGGUUCCAUGGUAAGCAGGCUAGUGAUGAGUACGAGUAGUUGCUCACCUUAAAACAAGAAGAAAUGGUUCCCGAGUAUAGAGAGCGUUUUGAGUUCCUCUCUGUGCCUCUUCGGGAUGUGUUAGAGGAGAUGAUGAUGGGGGCAUUUAUGAAUGGGCUUAAGGAGGAAAUUUGGUGCGAUGUCAAAUUAAUGCAUCCCCGAAAUCUGACGCAACGUAACUGAUGGAUUUUUCGAAUCAAGUGGAAGAUAGGAAUCGUGUGAAGGAAAAACUAGAGGAGAAGAAGAGUAAGGCUUCAAAACCUUCCUCGGCAGGGUGCUGGAGUGAUUUUCGAAGCUUUAUGCCCAGGUUCAGCCCAGUGGAUACUGUAAGAAAUGCAGCGUCGCCUCUCACGGUGAAGACGACCUUUGGUAAGGCAAGAGAUGAGGCCAAAAUGACGGCACAAAAAGGAGUUAACCCAGUGCUAACCACUGCCAGCAGUAACAGUAACAGUAUGAGGAGGAGGCUUUUGGAGGUUGAAAUAAACAGACGCUGUGAGCUGGGCUUAUGCUUCAAGUGUGAAGAGAAGUUUAGGCCUAACUAUAAGUAUAAAAAUAAACAGCUCCAGCUUCUUGUAUUGAAAGAAGAGGAAAUAGAUGAAAUUGGGCCUGGCAAGGCCCACGAGCUAAGUAACCAGAUGGCUGAGAAGGCAAUGUCUUCAAUGGAGCUUUCCAUGACUAUUGCAAUUGGGCUCACGAGAAAACGAACUCUAAAAAUGGUGGGAGAAGCCCAUGGACAAAAGGUGGUGAUAUUGAUUGACUGUAAGGCAACUCAUAAUUUCGUGGCCCACACCCUCAUUAAACAGCUCAGGAUUCCAAUGGAGACAGUCAAGAAGUAUUUUGUGAUAGUGGGAGAUGGGCGAUGAAUUGAAUCAGACCUGAAAUGCCCAGAGAUUAUGCUGAAAAUAUAAGGGGUAGAGAUCAAACAGACGUUCUACCCUUUCAAUUUGGGAAAUGUCAACUUGGUCUUGUGAGUGGAGUGGCUCGCGUCGCUGGGUGAAACUUGCAUGAAUUGGAGGUAGUUGUAUAUGAAGGUGAGAGUGGACAAACAAUGGGUUUGCCAUUGUAGGGAUUCAAUGCUAACGCAAUUGCCUACUGCAUUCAAUCGAUCAAGAAAUCCAUUUUGGAGGAACGAGUUGGAUAUAUCCUUGAGUUGAGAGCAAUCAACAAGAGUAUAGAAAGCAUAUUGGAUUCUAAAGCCUCAGACUUAAGCGACAUACUCACUAAAUUUCCGAACGUGUGCUACUCACUGGAGGCCUACCCCCUAAAAGGUCACAAGACCAUGCUAUACUGGUCAAGGAAGGUGCUUAGCCCCCCAACACACGACCCCAUCGCUACAGGAACUCUCACAAAGAACACCUGUGAAAGACCUUAGAGCUACUGAAGCAGAACCAAUUAGUAGUGAAUCCUAAGAAGUGUGUGUUUGGGCAGACUCAGGUUGAGUAUUUGGGGCAUAUCAUAUUUGUUGAAAGGGUGAAAGUUGAUCACAGUAAGAUCUCGACAAUGAAAAAAUGGCCGAAACCUAGGAGCUUGAAGGCUCUUAGGGGCUUCUUGGGUCUAACUGGGUACUAUAGGAAGUUUGUAAAGGACUAUGGAAAAAUUGCAGCCCCUCUGACACAAUUGCUAAAGAAGGACUCUUUCUUAUGGGAUGAGAAAGUGCAGAAAGCAUUUGAAGAUCUAAAAUUAGCCAUGACAACUCUUCUAGUGCUUACCAUGCUAGAUUUCAAACUCCCCUUUAAUAUAGAAGCGGAUGCCUCGGCUAAAGGAAUAGUGGCAAUAUUAAUGCAGAAGUGAUGCUCCAUUGUUUAUUUUAGCCAGAAGCUUUCAGAAAGACAGCAACAAUGUUCGGUCUAUGAAAGGGAAUUAAUGGCAAUUGCACUAGCAGUCAAAAAGUGGCAGCAUUACUUGACUAAUUAACCUUUCAUAAUCAAGACCGAUCAGUAGGCGCUAAAAUAUCUGAUGGAGAAAAGAAUAAUUGCACUUGACCAAAAAAAGUGGGUAUCUAAAUUAAUGGGUUAUCAGUUCCAAAUACACUGCAAGUCGGGAAAAGAGAACCGUGCAGCUGAUGCUCUCUCUCAGCAACACAAUGAACUAGAGAUGAGGGCUGUGUCAUUAUGGCAGUAUGAAGGCAUAACAGAUUUAGAGUUCAAAAUUCUACAAGACGAGCACUUGAGAACCUUGACUUAGCAAUUGAUACAAGGGAAGGAGGUACCUAAGGGAUAUACACUACGAAAUGGGGGUUUUUUUUUAAGGGCGAUUGGUACUACCCAAGAAUUCAUCCAAAACUAAGGAAUUGAUUCAAGAAUUUCAUGAUUCA
RNA transcript from Prosopis cineraria, 3761 nucleotides. RefSeq lists it as uncharacterized. The transcript is spliced from 3 exons. Lineage: Eukaryota; Viridiplantae; Streptophyta; Magnoliopsida; Fabales; Fabaceae. The record is from RefSeq and is a predicted model, not a curated record.